RNAcentral lists this microRNA precursor (84 nucleotides) under Ovis aries (sheep). RNAcentral describes it as "miRNA (ENSOARG00000024253.1)". Lineage: Eukaryota; Metazoa; Chordata; Mammalia; Artiodactyla; Bovidae. The record is from RNAcentral.
UAUUGUAUUGGCCAAAAAGUUCGUUCAGAUUUUUCUGUAACAUCUUAUGGAAAAACCCAAACAAACUUUUUGGUCAAUCCAAUA